CCUACGGGACGCAGCAGUGGGGAAUAUUGGGCAAUGGGCGCAAGCCUGACCCAGCAACGCCGCGUGAAGGAAGAAGGCUUUCGGGUUGUAAACUUCUUUUGACAGGGAAGAGUAGAAGACGGUACCUGUCGAAUAAGCCACGGCUAACUACGUGCCAGCAGCCGCGGUAAUACGUAUGGAGCAAGCGUUAUCCGGAUUUACUGGGUGUAAAGGGAGCGCAGACGGCAGGGCAAGUCUGAUGUGAAAGUCCGGGGCUCAACCCCGGGACUGCAUUGGAAACUGUCCGGCUAGAGUGCAGGGGAGGG
Molecule: ribosomal RNA, 305 nt
Filed under: uncultured bacterium
Lineage: Bacteria
Description: bacterial SSU rRNA
Rfam family: Bacterial small subunit ribosomal RNA
Source: RNAcentral